UUCAAGAUUGGGAUGGGAGUUCUUCUCUCAAGUGCUUGUUUGAUUUCAGAUGAAAUGUCGGAAGCAACUUCUGAAUGUAUUCAAGAUAUAGCAGCAGAGGUUAGAGCUGCUGUUGUUUUAGCAGCAGUUGCCGAAGAACUGGCAGAAGGACGCUGUGAUGUGGGACCCAGAGAGCUCAGGAGGAGAAUAUGUCAAGCGCAACAUGUGGUAUCCAGUUUACAGCCCUCUUGUUCAUGAGAAAUAAAGUUCCGAUCAUCUCUGUGUGAGUGUGCGCGCGCGCGAAGGAUAUUUUUCUGCAGACACUGUCCCAGCGUUCUGCAGCCAUUCAAUUAUUCAUGAUGUAACUGUAGUUUUGAAGUCUAGAGUAGUAAUAUGGGUGAAAGAACAAAACUCGAGAGAGAAGGCUCGUAGAAGUUGAAUAAUGCCACUGCAGUUUUAAUUAAGUCCUUUUGUAUAAAUCUUCUUAUUGAUGUAAUGAACAACAUCAUGUAAAAUGUCUCUUUUUUAGUUUUUUCAAAAACUUAUUGAUGUUUCAUGUAUGCUCC
Camellia sinensis is the source of this 545-nucleotide non-coding RNA. The record is from RefSeq and is a predicted model, not a curated record. Lineage: Eukaryota; Viridiplantae; Streptophyta; Magnoliopsida; Ericales; Theaceae.